RNAcentral lists this ribosomal RNA (287 nucleotides) under uncultured bacterium. Its description in RNAcentral is "partial 16S ribosomal RNA". It matches the Rfam family "Bacterial small subunit ribosomal RNA", at positions 355 to 637 of the family's 1533-position model. The record is from RNAcentral.
UGGGGAAUAUUGCACAAUGGGCGCAAGCCUGAUGCAGCCAUGCCGCGUGUGUGAAGAAGGCCUUCGGGUUGUAAAGCACUUUCAGCGAGGAGGAAGGGUUCAGUGUUAAUAGCACUGUUCAUUGACGUUACUCGCAGAAGAAGCACCGGCUAACUCCGUGCCAGCAGCCGCGGUAAUACGGAGGGUGCAAGCGUUAAUCGGAAUUACUGGGCGUAAAGCGCACGCAGGCGGUUUGUUAAGUCAGAUGUGAAAUCCCGCGCUUAACGUGGAACUGCAUUGAAACUGGC